RNAcentral lists this ribosomal RNA (464 nucleotides) under uncultured bacterium. Its description in RNAcentral is "bacterial SSU rRNA". It matches the Rfam family "Bacterial small subunit ribosomal RNA", at positions 29 to 524 of the family's 1533-position model. The record is from RNAcentral.
AACGAACGCUGGCGGCAGGCCUAACACAUGCAAGUCGAACGCCCUGGCGACAGGGAGUGGCAGACGGGUGAGUAACGCGUGGGAACGUGCCUUUCGGUUCGGAAUAACCCAGGGAAACUUGGACUAAUACCGGAUACGUGCGAGAGCAGAAAGAUUUAUCGCCGAAAGAUCGGCCCGCGUCCGAUUAGCUAGUUGGUGAGGUAAAGGCUCACCAAGGCGACGAUCGGUAGCUGGUCUGAGAGGAUGAUCAGCCACACUGGGACUGAGACACGGCCCAGACUCCUACGGGAGGCAGCAGUGGGGAAUAUUGGACAAUGGGCGAAAGCCUGACGCAGCGACGCCGCGUGGGGGAUGAAGGUCUUCGGAUUGUAAACCCUUUCGGGAGGGAAGAGUGGGACGAGCAAUCGUUCGGACGGUACCUCCAGAAGCAGCCACGCUAACUUCGUGCCAGCCGCCGCCGUAAC